This is an RNA transcript of Hibiscus syriacus, 1633 nucleotides long. It is a transcript of the gene named cullin-4-like, with no coding region annotated. The transcript has 4 exons. NCBI's taxonomy places the organism in Eukaryota, Viridiplantae, Streptophyta, Magnoliopsida, Malvales, Malvaceae. The record is from RefSeq and is a predicted model, not a curated record.
UUUUUGUUCUUCUCUCUUUUUCCCUGUGAAAUCAAUCAACCACUCGCUGCCUUCUCGAUAUCUUCUUCCUGUACCGUAAAAAAAGAAACAUCAAGAGGGCGAAGAAAGAAAGAAAAAGAAGAAGGUAAAUUAAAUAAAUAUUUGAAGCUGGAAAUUGUUACAAUGCUUUGUUGAUCACUUUCAUGUCUCUCCCCCCAACCAAACGCUCUCUCAGCUCCAACGCCGCUGCUUCCCCCUCAUCCUCCUCUUCUUCUUCUCGCUUUCAGCCACCGAUGAAGAAAGCCAGGUCCCAAGCCGUGGCUUGCUCUCUCGACCCGAAUAAGAACUGCCUUCACAACCACCACAACAACCAAGGCGACAACGACGUCGUUUUGGACCAUUCGUCUAUGGCCCUCGACUAUGAUUCCAAGUCCGACGAUGCCCGUGCUCCCGCCGCCGCUAUUUUGUCUCGCAAAAAGGCUAUCCCACUUCAACCCGCCAAAAAGCUCGUCAUCAAACUCGUUAAAGCCUGUACAGCAGCUUCAUAAGGAACAACUUCAUCGGGGUUAACUUGGAUCCUUCUCUACUACCUGAAUCAAGAUUCGAGUUUGGGCAGCAUUGAUUUCAUUGAAGAUGAACCUGUUCUACUGUCACAAGUCAAGGUUAGACAAGAAUAUGAGAUUGACCUCACUAUUUUUACUGGGCUAUACCGAUAUCGACUAGGGGAUGCGGCGGAAGUGAGCGGAUUUCACAACAGGACAUCAAAGCAGAAUUUUAUAUGCAGGAAGAAGCUAAUAUGGGCUGUUAACAUCGACAAAAACACCGAAAAGAACCUUCAGUUAGUGGUCGAGAGAGGGUCCGAGCUGUUAAGCAAUCACCGAGCCGAGUUCGUCGAUUUCACGAGCAGUGCCGAAGUCAUGCGACCAUGGAGCAGAAAAAGGUUGAAGAAGAUGCAAAGAAAGGAGAUGAAUCUAAAGGAGAAUCUGCUCAAUAACCUCAAGAGGUUAUCUUGAAAGUUUACAUGCACGGUGAAGCUUGUGCUCAAGAGAUCAAGAAACAUAUCAAAAGAAUGAAAGGAAGGUGUUGUUCAGACCUCGUGUGGCGUUCGAUCUGGAUCAGGCACGAGACAAAACGGUGAGAUAAGGAAUUGAAUCAGACUCGCGGAACGAUUGACGGACAUAUUCGUUGAUGAAAAUGACGUGGAUUUGUUGCUUCUACAGAACGAUAGAGAUGAUAGGGUUCUUCAAUGGUUACAAGCUUUAGAUAUGCAAUUAAUCGGCGAUUGUUGAACCGAUGAGAGGCUAAAACCUUUGUUGAAAGUCAACGUAUCAAACAGCAUCGCCGAGGAUCGAUUAUUAGCUCAUUUGAGUCGGUGCUUUGAGCCAUCGGAAAUUGGUAUACUGGGGAGGUAUUCUUGCAUUCCAUUGGUUUCAGUUUGAGUAUGUGAUAAAAUGAGGAAGGCGAAAUUACUAGGAAAAUUAUUUGAAGUCGUAUUUGUACGGUGGAUGGUCCGUGUUCAUGAGAAAAAGAUGGAAGUUAGAAAUCAAGUUGGUGAGAUUAAAUUUAAGAGUUAUAUUUUGGUUGACGUCCUGAAUCUGAAGUUUGUUUCGUCAAAUUCGAACUCGGUAAGCUGUUUUUGACUGAUUUAUCACCC